RNAcentral lists this long non-coding RNA (1164 nucleotides) under Mytilus galloprovincialis (Mediterranean mussel). Lineage: Eukaryota; Metazoa; Mollusca; Bivalvia; Mytilida; Mytilidae. The record is from RNAcentral.
UAAAUACACAUGAUAACGAUAAUAAUUUUUUAGUGAAAAAAAAACCCAAUAGUUUAAUAUUUUUAAUCAAUCAAAAUAUUAAAAAAAAUUGUAGUGAAUUAACGACACUUCUCGUGUAUGGUAAUUCAUGCGUGAAACUGUGCGCAGUCGAAUUGUCCCGAUCCCCUCAAUGCACUUUUGUGAUUCAACUUGUCAAGAUUGAAAGGGGAUAAGAAGGGAGUUGUGUGUAAAAAGGAAUUGGCUACAACCACCCAACUGUUCACGUGUCACCCCCAAGACAGAGACUUUACAGUGGUUGUCACUCUUAUCUUUUUAAUCAAUUAAAGUAAUGCUGAAGUAGAUUUGGAGUUUCUUUCAGAAUUUUGAUUGGCUGUCCUAUUUAAAAAAUAAAUAAAUCUAAAUGAGUGGUUGCAUGUACAUGCAUAAUUAAGACUAGGAGAAGAUAUGAACGACUUCGAGAUAGCUAGUACUGAUAUAUUUUUACAUAUAUGAUAAACUUUAAAUAAUUAUUUAAAAAUGUUUAUAUCAUUUCAAUAGUUUGAAGUUUAUCAGAAGAAAGAAAACACACAUAAAGAAUAAAGAAAAAAAGGAAUGAUAUUAAAUUAGUUCAAUAGUAACUGGCUAGUAACCACGGCCAACGUUUAAAAUGUUAUGUCUUAAAUUUAAAAAUGGCUUUUAUUUAUUCAGACGCGUAAUAAAGCCCGAUGAAGCACUACAUUUGAUAAAAUGCAAGCCUCAAUAUCAAUAUACGCACUUUUUAAAAUUUAUUAUAAGUAAAGAACAAAUAUUUUUCAAUCAAGUUGAUUUUUAUUGCAUGUUUAAAAGAAAAAAGUAGAAUAACAAUGAAUACUGAAGUCCGUGGAAAAUUCAUUCGGAAAGUCCCUAAUGAAAUGGCAAAAUCAAAACCUCAAAUACAUCAACAACGAGUGGAAAACACCUGUCACAUUUCUAACUUGGAACAGGCAUUUUUAUGUAGAAAAUGGAGGAUUGAAACUAGUUAUAUAGCUAGCUGAACCUCUCACUAUUAUGACAGUCGCACAAAAAAGAUGAUUAAAAAAUAAAUCAUAACGAACAUAUUAUUUAUUUAUAAUAUGUUUGGUUUGUUAGUUUUUAAACGUUAAUAUAUAAAAAAAGAAGAUGUGGUAUGAUUGCCAAUGAGACAAC